Molecule: long non-coding RNA, 935 nt
Filed under: Lupinus angustifolius (narrow-leaved blue lupine)
Lineage: Eukaryota; Viridiplantae; Streptophyta; Magnoliopsida; Fabales; Fabaceae
Description: long non-coding RNA (LANG_LNC001561)
Source: RNAcentral
UAAAGUGAAAAAGCUACAUUCAAAUGGCACAGGUUCAAAUGGCUCUGCUAAAGUUUAUCUUUGUACUUGCAAUUGGAGUUCUCCUUUUCUCUCAUGGUACGUAAACACAAAGCAGAAAUUUAGUCUUCCAAUAAUUAUUCACUCGUGUAUAAUAUGUUAAAUUGUAUAAAUCUUUAAAGGUAAAUUAUACCAAUAAUCUAUAAGUUUUAGUGAUAUCAUACAAGUUAAAUUUUAUCUACACAAACCACCUUUUAUUUAUAUACAUAUAUUAUAUUAAUUAUCACUGUAAAAGAUAUAAGUAUGAUCUUUUUAAUCAAAAAACAUGCAAUGAGUGUAAUUAAGUUAAAUAAAAUAUAGUAUAUUGUAGAGACAAAUCCAAAUAAUAUAAGAAUCAAUGUCUAUUCAUUAUUUUUGAUUGGUUAUAAAAUAAAUCAAUAUGAGAAAAUGUUGUUCAAAUUAUUCUUAUACUAUGUUGUUAUGAUUAAAAAAAUAAUGAAGAGACAUUGAUUGUUAUACUAUUUGAAUUUGUCUUUGCAAUAUAUCAUGUUUUGUUUAACUUAGUUACACUUAUUAUUCAUUUUUGUUUAAAAGAUUAUACUUAUCUCUCCAGUAUAAGUAUACAUUGUUUGUAAUUAUACAUAUAAAUUAUGGUGGUUUGUAUAAGGGCAAAAAAUGAGGUUAUUUAUUUUUUAAUUUAUUAAAAUUCAGGAGUAUAAGUAUAAUUUACUUAAAUCUAUAUAGACAAUAUACAGAUGUUAUUUUCUUUAUCAUUAUUAUAUUAUUAUGUUUUGUUAAGAAUUUGAAAUAUGAAUGCAUGCAGUGAAUGGCUUGUUUUGUAAUGGACAAUGUGGAAAGGACCAUCCUGAUUGCGAUACAUUCUGCAAGAGUGCUGGAUAUCGAAAAGGAAUUUGCCAAGAUAUAACUGCUAAGCCUGG